AUACGUAGGGAGCGAGCGUUGUCCGGAAUUACUGGGUGUAAAGGGAGCGUAGGCGGGAUUGCAAGUCAGAUGUGAAAUGCAGGGGCUCAACCCCUGAGCUGCAUUUGAAACUGUAGUUCUUGAGGGAAGUAGAGGAAAGCGGAAUUCCUGGUGUAGCGGUGAAAUGCGUAGAUAUCAGGAGGAACACCGGUGGCGAAGGCGGCUUACUGGGCUUUUACUGACGCUGAGGCUCGAAAGCGUGGGGAGCAAACAGGAUUAGAUACCCUGGUAGUCCACGCUGUAAACGAUGAUUACUAGGUGUGGGGGGACUGACCCCUUCCGUGCCGCAGUUAACACAAUAAGUAAUCCACCUGGGGAGUACGGCCGCAAGGUUGAAACUUAAAUGAAUUGGCGGGG
This 396-nucleotide ribosomal RNA is filed under the name uncultured bacterium. RNAcentral describes it as "partial 16S ribosomal RNA". It matches the Rfam family "Bacterial small subunit ribosomal RNA", at positions 523 to 918 of the family's 1533-position model. The record is from RNAcentral.